CCUACGGGUGGCAGCAGUGGGGAAUAUUGCGCAAUGGGCGAAAGCCUGACGCAGCGACGCCGCGUGAGGGAUGAAGGUCUUCGGAUCGUAAACCUCUGUCAGCAGGGAAGAACGGUCACUGUGCUAAUCAGCAGUGAAUUGACGGUACCUGCAAAGGAAGCACCGGCUAACUCCGUGCCAGCAGCCGCGGUAAUACGGAGGGUGCGAGCGUUAAUCGGAAUUACUGGGCGUAAAGCGCUCGUAGGCGGUAUGUCAAGUCAAGGGUGAAAUCCCCGCGCUCAACGUGGGAACUGCCUUUGAAACUGGCAAACUGGAGUGUGUGAGAGGUUAGUGGAAUUCCAGGUGUAGGAGUGAAAUGCGUAGAUAUCUGGAGGAACAUCAGUGGCGAAGGCGACUAUCUGGCACAUAACUGACGCUGAGGAGCGAAAGCGUGGGUAGCAAACAGGAUUAGAUACCCGAGUAGUC
RNAcentral lists this ribosomal RNA (465 nucleotides) under uncultured bacterium. RNAcentral describes it as "partial 16S ribosomal RNA". It matches the Rfam family "Bacterial small subunit ribosomal RNA", at positions 338 to 795 of the family's 1533-position model. The record is from RNAcentral.